This 247-nucleotide ribosomal RNA is filed under the name uncultured Actinomycetales bacterium. RNAcentral describes it as "partial 16S ribosomal RNA". It matches the Rfam family "Bacterial small subunit ribosomal RNA", at positions 85 to 334 of the family's 1533-position model. The record is from RNAcentral. Lineage: Bacteria; Bacillati; Actinomycetota; Actinomycetes; Actinomycetales.
AGGUACUCGAGUGGCGAACGGGUGAGUAACACGUUGGUGAUCUGCCCUGCACUCUGGGAUAAGCCUGGGAAACUGGGUCUAAUACCGGAUAGGACCGCACUUUAGUGUGUGUGGUGGAAAGUUUUUUCGGUUGUAGGAUGAGCCCGCGGCCUAUCAGCUUGUUGGUGGGGUAAUGGCCUACCAAGGCGGCGACGGGUAGCCGGACUGAGAGGUUGGUCGGCCACAUUGGGACUGAGAUACGGCCCAG